RNAcentral lists this ribosomal RNA (459 nucleotides) under uncultured bacterium. RNAcentral describes it as "bacterial SSU rRNA". It matches the Rfam family "Bacterial small subunit ribosomal RNA", at positions 355 to 804 of the family's 1533-position model. The record is from RNAcentral.
UGGGGAAUCUUGGACAAUGGGCGCAAGCCUGAUCCAGCCAUGCCGCGUGAGUGAAGAAGGCCUUCGGGUUGUAAAGCUCUUUUGUCAGGGAAGAAACGGUAGUAGCGAAUAACUACUACUAAUGACGGUACCUGAAGAAUAAGCACCGGCUAACUACGUGCCAGCAGCCGCGGUAAUACGUAGGGACCAAGCGUUGUUCGGAUUUACUGGGCGUAAAGGGCGCGUAGGCGGCUUGACAAGUCACUUGUGAAAUCUCUGGGCUUAACCCAGAACGGCCAAGUGAAACUGUCAUGCUAGAGUGCAGAAGGGGCAAUCGGAAUUCUUGGUGUAGCGGUGAAAUGCGUAGAUAUCAAGAGGAACAUCUGAGGUGAAGACGGGUUGCUGGGCUGACACUGACGCUGAGGCGCGAAAGCCAGGGGAGCAAACGGGAUUAGAUACCCAUGUAGUCCCUGAGCGGGC